RNAcentral lists this long non-coding RNA (12884 nucleotides) under Ananas comosus (pineapple). RNAcentral's name for it is "long non-coding RNA (ACOM_LNC006242)". Lineage: Eukaryota; Viridiplantae; Streptophyta; Magnoliopsida; Poales; Bromeliaceae. The record is from RNAcentral.
UUUACCGACCAUAUGCACAAUCGUAUCUAACACAGUUAACUAAAUAUUUAAUAAUUAAUAUUCAAAAUUCUAAGUUCGAGGCCGUAGAAAGAAGUCCUUUCUCUCUCAAAAAAAUAGGGAAAAAGAACUCUAAGCCUCCGUUUGAUUUGGGGUUGAGAAAAAAGUAACUAUUACAGGGAUAGAGUUAAGUUCAGGAUUAAAGUGGGGUUAAAAUUUUUUGUGUUUGGUUGGGGGUUGGAGUUAGUCUAGAAUAAUGAAAAAUAGUGUUUGGUUGGAGUUGGUGGGAUAAGAAGAUAAUGAUUGAUAAAGAAGGAUAAUGAUUGGUUGGAGUAGGUGUGAUAAGAAAGAUAAUGGGUUAUUAUGAAUAGAAAAUAGUGUUUGGUUAGAGUUUGGUGGGAGUAGGUGGAAUUAGCUAACCCGGGAUAAUUUAUUUGAGGUGGGAUUAGCUUUGGGGUGUUUGGGGAUAAAAUGGGGGUUAAGGGGUUAUUCCACCCCUUAACCCCCAACCAAACAAGGGCUAAAAAGAUUUUAAAAAAAGAGCUCUGGAAAGCACAUCAAAAGUUAUAUACACAUUACCUACCAAUGCGUCUUACCCAACGGUCGACUUUUCAGGUGGAAUUUAGUAAGCAUGUAUCGGCUCCCACGUUGUUACCUCUUGGCGCCAAAUAAAGACUAGGAGUUAUUGCUUGAAAAGCUCCAUCACUAAAAAUUUACAGAAACAGGCUAUAUAACAUAAUACUUACGCUUCCAUUGUCUCUUCCAUUCGUUUCACCAGUCCCUUUGUUAGUAAUUAGCACCAUUUUGUACCAUAAAACCCUCCAAACCCUUUGAUUUCAUCGGGACCGUCUCACAAAAAUAUAGCUUCCGACAAUGGCCAAUCAACCAGGAAGAAGAAACUCCAGCGGCGAACUACUUGCAGAGAUCGCGAGCUUAAGUCAAACACUCAGCCGACCCCCCACCACCGGCAAUCGUCGCCGCACCGCCUCCCUCGCCCUGCCGCGCUCUGCCGCCCCGACGUUGGCCGACUUCGCCUCUGAUGGGCCGCAGAUCACCGAUGGGGCUCCUCGAACCGACCGCUGGAGCCACUCCUUCCGCUUCAUGCCCCUUUCUUCCUGGCGCUCCCGUCCGAAACCUAAAGCAGACACGGAAAGUGAGGGGACCGAUGCUGAUGAAAACCCUAAUUUCACGGCCCGGCCUCCGGAUGGGGAGAAGAAAGGUAUAUGGGGUUGGAAGCCGAUGCGAGCCCUCUCGCACAUCGGUAUGCGGCAUAUUGGGUGUUUGUUCAGAGUUGAAGUAGUCGCAAUCCGCUCCCUCCCAACUUCUAUGAACGGCCUCCGCCUCUCGGUCACGGUCCGGAAGAAGGAGAAGGCCAAGGAGGGAGCUGUGCAAACAAUGCCCUCCCGAGUGAUGCAAGGAAUUGCCGACUAUGAUGAAACCUUAUUUAUUAGGUGCAAUCUCUACUACAGCGGAGGUCGCGGCACAGGAAAGCCACUCAAGUUUGAGGGUCGCCCUUUUGUUAUCUCUGUGGUGGCUGUCGAUGCCCCUGAGCUUGGUUUCGGAAAGAGAACCAUCGACUUGAGUGCGAUGAUUCUCGAGUCAGUGGAAAAGAGUUUGGAGGGGCAGCGGCUUCGGCAGUGGGAGAGGACUUUUGAGCUCUCUGGAAAGGCAAAGGGGGCUGAAUUAGUUCUCCGGUUAGGGUUUCAGAUCAUGGAGGACGGACACCUCGGUAUCUACAAUCAGGCUUAUGUUAUAAAGUCGAAGGAUCAUGGAAGGAGCUCCUCUUUCUCCAUUGCACGGAACCAAUCAAAGUCUACUUACAGUGCUCCGAGCCCAAGUAUCACGAGAUCAGAUUCACCUAUCACUGAUCCAGAGAGAAAGUUAAAAGGAGUUGAUUACUUCAAUCACAAUGAUCGUGGAAUUUCAUCCUUGAAUCCCUGGUCAAUUCAGAAGUCAGAGCAAGAGAGAGUAGUGGAGGAUUUUGAUAUCCCAGAAUUUGAAGUCAUUGAGAAAGGAAUCGAGAUUCAAGGACAAAGCAAAGUUGAAGAGGUACAGUCGGAGUCCACGGAAGGGACCUCGGCCUCAAAUGGAAACGUUAAAGAGAUUGUUCGUGACAGUGCUCAUUUGGUUAGGCUUAAAGAGCUUGACUCGAUAGCAAAAGAAAUUGAGGCUCUUGAGUCAAUGAUCAUUGGAAAUAAUGCAGAUCCUAUUAUAUCACUACAACGAUCCCAAGAGCAGCAAUUAGAUGCUAAAGAGGAGAGAAUGACAAGGGAGUACCUCCGAAUGCUUAAGAUGCAAGAUAAUAAGCAGCUGAAACAAGAGCUUCUCUCCCCAAAAUUAGCAGGAGAUGGUGAAAAAGAUGGUGAAGUGAAGGUUCUCCUUCCGGAUUUAGGGAAGGGUCUGGGCUCCGUCAUUUGUACGCGGGAUGGAGGCUUCUUAAUUUCAACGAAUCCAUUUAAUAUAGAAGUAGCAAGGAAAGAGAGUCCAAAACUGGCUAUGCAUAUCUCGAGACCAUUCGUCUUCAAGAAUCAGAAGCUAGUAAGUGGGUUCGAAGUAUUUCAGAGAUUAGCUGCCAUGGGAUCUGAAGAGCUGAGUUCUAAAUUGCUCUCAUUGGUUGAUAUGGACGAAUUGACGGGUAAAAGUGCAGAAAAGAUAGCAUUCGAGGGCAUUGCAUCGGCCAUCAUAAGUGGGAGGAACAAGGAAGUAGGAAGCUCGAGUGCAACUAGAACAAUCCUGAUUGCUAAACAGAUGGCUGCAGCGAUGAGCGAAGGUAGAAAGCAAAGGAUUUCCACGGGAAUUUGGAGUACAAAGAAGGACCCUAUGAUGAUAGAAGAAAUCUUGGGGUUCUCUCUGCAAAAGAUGGAGGCCAUGGCAGUGGAGGCUCUGAAGAUUCAGGCUGAGAUGGCCGAAGAAGAAGCCCCAUUUGAUGUUUCUCCACUUAUCUUGAAAGAUAAUCCAAAGUGCUUCUUGGAUUCCACCAUUUCACUUGAGGAGUGGGCCAAAAACUGCAGCAAAAACAGUGCAAUUACAAUGUCAGUAGUCAUUCAACUGCGAGACCCGUUAAGGAGUUACGAAGCUGUGGGGGGUCCCAUGAUUGCUGUGGUGCAGGCAAUGAAAGCAAAUAGUGAUGAAGAAGAUGGGUUUCAGUUUAAAGUGGAGAAUCUCCAUAUUGGGGGUCUGAAGGUGAAGGAAAGAGGGAAAAGGAAUGCUUUGGAUGGGGAGAAACAGAGGCUGACUGCUAUGCAAUGGUUGGUGGCCUAUAAUUUGGCGAAAGCAAAGAAAAAUAAGUUGGCGGAGGCAAAACCAAAACAAGAUUUUGUUUGGAGCAUGUCCUCACGAAUCAUGGCAGAUAUGUGGCUCAAGCCGAUGCGAAACCCUGACGUGAAAGUUUCUAGCAAGAGUAGAUGAGAUGUUGUUUAAUAAUAUAGGUUUAGUGCUAUUGUUUAAUAGUGAAAGGACAACUUGCUUUCGUGGAUAAUGCAUGUAUCGAACAUCUUGUUUUAUGUAUAGAAAUAGUUCAUGUUAUGUAAGUCUGACUCUAUUGUUGACUGAUCAACAAAGUAGGUGAAGUGAAAAAGUUUCCUUAGAGUACAUGCCAGUACAUUUUAUGUUAUUUUCCCAUUUUUCAAUUGAUGUUCUUAAUAACAACCUACAAGCACCAAAAGGAAGAAGAUUCUUUUCAGGACAAUCAGAAGAGCUUCAUCAGCUAUCUCUAACUUUAAUUCUUCACACUUUCAAAGCUAAGAAAUGAGCAAGGAAUCAACACAUGGUAGGAUAACCUAGAAAAGCUGCGUAAUUUCUAUUAAAAGCAAUAGAUAAAGAACUCCCGCCGAGAUUCAUACCGUAAUACAGCAAUUAGAAGAAAUCAAUGAAAUUGUAAUUUAUAAAUAAAGCUUACAAAGCAGUAUGUUUACCUAUCUCAAUCUGUCAAUUGUUGCCUGCAUAGACAAGAAAGAAAAUGCUGCAACCCAAUCAAACUUAAAAGAUUCAGUGUAUCUGUAAGCAUAAUUUAUGCAAUUGUUGGGUAACAAAGAAUAAAUGAGUAAAACAUAAAAGGUGAAGGAACAACCUCCACUUCACCAGUAGUCACUGCAAGAGCAAGAUCCUUCUCUAAAAUGGUGAAAGCGAAUGCCAUCCCUAACUAUCAAUUCCCUACCAGCAAUCAAUGAUAUUAACUUGAUUACGGUGUGACAAUCACUGCAUAUCCGAAGAUUCUUCAUAAUAUGGAUGGGCAUCCAAGUAGGCAAGCUCAUUAGUCCAAAGGCCACAGCUAGUUUCUCACUAUGAUGUCUCUCUGAUCGUAAGCUCAUUGUUUUAAUGUACCCAACAGCUUCAAUCUUUUCAAUCAGUUCAUCAAGCUUUCGUUGAAUAUGAAUAAUUUGAGGGUGGCUAACAUCAUCCGCUUUAAAAACAUGAAUCAUAUUCUCAACCUCAAUCCAGCUAUGCCCAGGAUUCUUUUUAAUCCCUCUGUCUCUCAUUAGUUUUCUUACUUGUGCAGAAUCGUUUGACUUUCCAGCAUCACAAUAUAUCUUUGCCAGAAGCAUAUAGCUUCCAGAAUCUUUUGAAUCUAACUCUAAUAGAUGUUUCCCGGCAAGCUCUGCAAGUUCUGCAUUGCCAUAGUUCUUGCAAGCUGCGAGAAGAGCUCCCCAAACUUCAGCACUAGGUUGGAUUGGCAUAUUGACUAUGAAAUUUUUAGCUUCUUCCAAAAGCCCUGCUCUGCCAAGAAGAUCUGCCAUGCAAGAAAAAUGCUCUAAACCUGCGCAUAUGUUAUGAACUCUAGUCAUGGAGUCAAAAUAAAAUUUGCCUUCCUGUACAAGUCCUGAGUGACUACAACCUGCUAAAACUGCAACAUAACUUAUAUAAUCUGGCUUUAUUCCCUUAGCUAACAUACUCUCGAAAAUCUUUAUUGCUUGCUUUCCCAUGCCAUGCUGCGCAUAUCCAGUUAUCAUAGCAUUCCAAGAAACUAAAUCCUUAUUUAUAACUGAAUCGAAAACCUCUCGAGCUUCUGCUAUCUUUCCACAUUUCGAGUACAUUGUGAUAACAGCAUUAGCCACCGAGUUAUCCAAAUUAAGCCCCACUUUAAUGGUAUGGGCAAUGAUCUGAUUGCCAAGUUUAACUGCAGCUAUUUCAGCACAAGCACUAAGCAACGACACGAAUGUAACCCAAUCUGGUCUCACAUCAUUUUCUCUAAGCAUGGCGGAGUACAUUUUGAGGCCCACUUCUUCAUCCCCAUUUUGUAUGUACGUGCCCAACAUUGCAUUCCAAGUGACUAUAUUCUUAGCAGCCAUUUUGUCGAAGAAUGUGCAGGCCUUAUUUAUAUUCCCCGCCUGAGAAUAUGCAGUUAUCAUGCUAGUCCACGAUAUGACAUCUUUCUCGGCCAUUAAAUCAAAGACCAACUCAGCACUCUGAACACUACCGCCCUUUGCAUACAUUGUGAUGAGCGAAUUAGACACAGGAAUAGCUAAAUCACAGCCACUCUUCAAGGAAAGUGAAUGCAACUGACUCCCAAGGCAUACAUCCACCUUGCCACAGCAAGCACUUAUCACAGUUGCUAGCGUGAAUUCAUCAUAAGUGAGAAACUCAGCUCUCAUCUGAUUAAACAAAUCUAUAGACUCAUUGAUGUACCCAUAAGUAGCAAAUCCCCCGAUAAGAGAUGUCCAUGAUACAGUGUUGCGGUCAGUUAAGGAGUCGAAUGUUCGUUUUGCUGCCUUCAGAUCGUCACAUUUGGCAUACAAGUGGACUAGCGCACUGCCAACAAAUGCAUCUAUUCCCAGUUGGGUUCUGAUUAUAUGAGCAUGAAGAUGCUUACCCCAAUCCAAAUUAGAGACAUUAGCACAUGCACUAAGAAUGCUCGUGUAAGUCGUAGAAUUAAGUUCUAGACCAUUGUUACGCAUAUCUUUCAACAUGGAAAGGGCGUCGCUAUCUCGUCCAUGUUGUGACAAUAUUGAUAUCAUCAUAUUCCACGAGACAAUAUCUCGUUCCGGCAUCCUAUCAAACAACUCGAUGGCACGUCCUACACCGUAGAAUCUCGAAUAACCCAAAAGCAUGCUGUUCCAGAAAAAAAGGUUCGGGCUUUCCAGCUGAUCAAACAACUUGGAAGCUAAGUCCAUUGCUCCACAUUUAACAUACAUAUCAACUAGAGCUCCCUCGACCUGCGCAUCUCUUCCAAAAUCAAACUUCUCAACAAAUCCAUGCAAUUGAAGGCCCAACCCCUGACACCGAAGGGCGCCGCAAGCUUUCAUUGUGCACGUGAGCGUAAACAUAUUUGGUCCACAAUCUGCGGAGCUGUUCAUGCAAACAAAAGCCUUUACGGCGUCCGAGAACCGUCCGUUUUGGAAGUACCCCGACAUGAGCGUGUUCCAAGAGGUGGUAUCCCUCACGGGCAUUUCAUCGAACACCUUCACCGCGUCAUCCAAAUGAGCAAACUUGGAGUACCCAUUAAUCAUCAUGUUGUGGGAGAUCACAUUGGGCGCGGCGAUGCCCUCGAAGACGCGGCGCGCGUCGUCGAGGGAGCCGCAGCUGAGGUAGGUGUGGAGGAGGUUGUUCUGGAGGAAGGUGGAGGAGGCGAGGCCGAGGGAGAUGAGGCGCGCGUGGAGGCUCCGCGCGGCGGAGAUGGAGGAGGAGGAGGAGGAGGAGGAGGAGGGGGAGGUCGCGCACGCUCGCAUGGCGUCGGAGAGCUCCUGGGUGAGGGCCAUGUACGCUUGGGGAGAGGGCAUGGGGGUAGAGGAGGAAGGGGUUCGUCUUUGGUGGGAGAAGGGGAGAGGCGAAGAGAGCUUCGAACGAGGCCAUGAGAGCUUGACCAUCCAACAAUGGCGCCUCUUCUCGUGGCGGGGUGUCGCAUUCCACGCUUCGCUCUGAGAGCUCCUCGAAGUGUUUGAUCUGCGCGCGAUCCAAUUGGACUUCGCUAUUCUAUUUAUGGUUUUUUUUUUUUUUUUUUUUUUUUUUUUUUUUUUUUUGAAAAAGCUUACCUGGUACAUUGGUGAAGGGAUCGUCAAUUUACACUCCUUAUUCCAUAAUUCAUAAAAAAUCUAAAUAAUUCAUAAUAAAAAAAAUAUUAAUAUGAUAACUAAAAAAUAAUAGUCCUUGAAUGAAGAGGAUAUAAUUAGCAUUGUUUUUUUGUUUUCUAUGUUUUACGAAAUUUUGUUAAGUUGUAUCUAUACGGGGGAUAAGUAUUGCAGUAACUUCGAAUUUGUUUGGUAACACGGAGCUCCAACCCGUAGAAGACGCAGGUUUUGUCUGUAUACCAACAACUUUACGUGUGACGGACGCAAGGUUGCGAGUUCGCACUGUAUACAAACAUAUCGCUCUAUGAGAUUGUCUUACCCAUGCAAUAAGGUGUGGACAACCGAAAAAGUCGGAGAUUGAAGUUCCUCCAAACUCCGAUGAUCUCGAGUUACACGAGCUCACAAGUUUCGUGCCUGACUUCGAUCUGAACAAACACCCUAAACUCCCUCUCUCCUAGGAGGUUUGAGGCAUUUAGAAAAUAAAUUUUGAUUUGAUGGCAUAAAUGAAAUAGGCAACUCUCUCUCUCUCUCUCUCUCUCUCUCUCUCUCUCUCUCUCUUUCUCUCUCUGGUAUAGAAUAUUUUAGAGUGCUCUAAAAAUAAGUGUUCUAGAAACAAGUGUCUCUACUUGCUAAUAAAGCACUCUAGAGUGCUCUAGAAUAUUCUAGAGUGCUCAAGUUGGUAGGUUGGGAGUCUAUAAAUAGAUGAGGACUCCUAUGUGUGAUGUUGUACGAAACGUGGGUGGUGAGAUAGUGUAGAGAGUGAGAGUGUAUUGAAUAGUGAAGUUAGUGUAUCUUUUAAUCUUUUUGGUGUAUGUGAUAAAACUAUAUAUGAAAAUUAUUUUAUGUGUAAUAAAAAAAAUUUUAUUAUUAGUUUUGUACGCCAAUAUUCUAUAAUAAACCCAACUUUGAGCAAAAUUUCGACUUUUCUUAUUGAUCGAAGGCCAAAGUAACUAUACAAAUUCUCUACUACCACCCUUUUGUUGUGAUAUAAUAUAGAUUUUUUGAUGGUUGACCACUGCAAUGAGGUUUAACACCCAGUCCGAGAUCUAUGACUCAAUUUUUCUGCAACCUUUUUGCAGCUUCAACUAGCUAGCUAUUAGGAUAUUCUGCAUGCACGGAUAGCAAAAAUUUUAAAAAAUAAAGAAAAAUACGAAUUAAAUUAUAAUUUAAAUCAAAUUUUCUGGAUCAAAUAAAAAUAUCCUAAUUGUAGAUACAUCUUACAUCUCUUUUUUUUAAAUAAACUGCUUAAAAACUAGAAAAAAAAAGAUCUGGUAUAAUCUAAUUUUAUUAUUUGAAUUGUGUAAAACCUGAUCCCCGAUCUAGAGUAGUCAAAAAAAUUUAUGUUUGAACACGGAUAUUAAUCCGGAUAAAAUAAUUUGUCUUGACAUGAUUUUCGGACGAAAAUUUUCAUUCGAAUUGUCAAACAAAUGUUUGGAAUUAUUAUAUUUAUUUAAAUACAUCCAAAAAUUGAUAAAAUUAUUCAAGAAAAGAAGAACUCUUCUUCUAACUUCCAAAGAGAGGUUUAUAAAAAAAAAAAUAAAAAAAAAAGGAAAAAGAAAAAAAGCCAGCAUAUAUUGAUGGAACCUACUCGUACGUUGGUGACGUCCUCAUCUGAGUGACAAUAAUAAUAAUGAUAACAUUUCAUUUAAGUGACAUAAUUAAUAUAAUAAGAUCUUCUAGCAUUAUGCUUUGAGGGUCAUUACAUCAACUUUAGGAGCAAAAUUUUCCAGCAUGAUGUAACACAUGAAAAUAAAAAAAACAUCACAAUCAAAAUAGUUUCAAUGACUCAGCAUUCAUAUUUUUCCACCAGAUUAUUGAUUCAAUUCAACUGCUAUAUAAGAACAACCAACUCAACGCAAUCGCGACCUAACGUACCAAAAUGCAAUAAAAAAUUAAAAAUUAAAAAAAUUAAAAUAAUCUUAAUAUUUGUACUCAUAUGUAUGAUCCGUAUUAACAUGUUGCGUCUACUGACUAAAAAGACCUAUAAAGUGUUAAAUGGAAGAGAUUUAAUCCAUUAAACAAUACAUAUAAAAGAAAACAAAAUUAUAAUCUUGUGCAUGAUCCUACUUUGAAAUCAUAUUUCAAAAGAUUUUAUAAUAUUAUUAAUGUGCUAAUCAAUUUAUAUGUUAUGUUAGAAUUCAUGUACGAGCUAAUUAAAAAUUAAUGAAUUAGAAAAUACAAAUAAAUAUAUUUUAGAGGAUCAGAAAUAAAUAUAUUUUUGUUUAUAUAUACAAUAAUGCAUAUUCUGUUCGCAUGUAUGAAUAUCUGAUUUAAAAUAUUUUUUUAAUAUAUAUUAUAAUAUAUAUAUAUAUAUAUUUAUUUAUUUAUUUAAUAUGUCAGAAGCGUGACUUUUAGAUUAUUUUUUAAAAAAUUUAUUUCAACAUUGAAAUAGGAUCAUAAAAAAUAGAAAUCAAAUUUAGACUUUUGUACUUUUUUAAGUAUCAUAUGAAAUAAUUAUUGAAUGUCUAUAAAAUUAUAUUUUAAUAAAAAUAAUUAUUUAAUGUCUAUUAAAAUUAUAUUUAAUAUUUUUUUAUAUAUUCCAUGAGCCAUGUGGCAUCCAUUGAUUGGUUCGAUCAUCGGUGGGUAGGACACGUGUACGAAAAUAACAAGGUGGGGACCAGUGACGUCAACUGACGGCCUCAUCUCCUAUUGAACCUGGACACCUGUCUCCUGUGGUGUCAGGCAUAUUUCUUUUUUUAUUAUAUAAAAAAUAAAUAUUUUUAUUUUUAUUUUUUUAUUUAUUUUGUUGGGUUCCGUAGGAGUCGCUACCGCACCACGGCACCCGAGACCCGCCUCAUCUCCGGAGCACUUUUGUCGUCUUCGUCCACGUGGCCACGCCUCCUUUAAAAUGCACCGAUACAAAGCAUUUUAUAUAAUUUUAUGCGCAAAAAUUUUUAAAAAACUUUAAAAAUCCUCCUGUGAUUUCGGAGUUUUUUAUUUUGCCUCCUUAUGGUUUAAAAUAUAUCAAUUUACUUUUCUGUGAUUUCUUUUUUCUCUUUUUCUGAUCAAUUUUAUUAUUUUUUUCUUAAAUCAGUGAUAAAGUUAAAAUUAAAGAAUACUAAAAUAUAUAUUUGAUAAAUCUAGAUGGGUAUCUGAAGUUUUUUUUGUAUAUAAUUUAAUGAAAUAUUAACGAAAAAGCUACCGAAAAGAUAAAAACGAAACCACAGGAGGACAAAUUGAUAUAUUUUAAACCACAUGGGGGCAAAGUGAGAAACUACGAACCGACAGGGGGGUUUUUGAAGUUUUUCCAAAAUUUUAUAUAUACAAAAUUAUUUUAUCAUAGCAAUCUAACCGUACAGUACAACGACGAGAUCGAUUUGGACCAGUGAUAUCAAACCCAUGAACUUGCACGGUGAGAUCGAACUAGACAAAUCAAUCAAUUACUCUGGAUGGUGUAUUAAACUCAAAUAAGUGGACUUGUACCGAACUCACCGCUAUACAGUAUACACAACUUUGUCCGGAUAUAGAAGUACGUCACGUUCGCGAGUUAUAUUUGUAUUUGGUUAUGGAUAUAUAUACAAUAAUCUCUAUCAAUUUACAGUAAAUUUUUAAAAUUUUAAUUUAUGAACAUGUUGUUUUAGUCGUAUUAACAUUGUCGUGUUUGACGGACCGUCCCUAAAGCAAGUGGUAAAGGAUUUGAUGGUUGGUACCCGAGGUCUCAAGUUCGAAUCCUAAUUGAUUCACAUUUCAAGCUAAAUUUAUUUUUAAAUAAAAUAAACGAAACGACUAACGUGUUACCUACGAGAGAAAAAAAAUAAAUAUUGUUGUGUUUGCGACUUUAGCAUAUUUGUAUUAUCAUGUCGUGUCUAAAUUGAAGCGACUGGAAUCGCAUUGGAUUCUAGAUUUCAUCACACGUGGCACGCUUUUUAAAGCGCGAUGGAUUCGCGUGGAAAAAAAGUUAGAAGCUCUUCCACGCAUGAAGAGGAAUCGCACACAAUCCUUGGCAAAAUUAUUAACGUAAUUAAUAACUAAAAAAAAAGUAAUAUGAAACUAAAACGGUAUUAAUUAAAAAGAAAAAAGUGAGAAUGCUAUUUCAGAGGAACCUAGUUUAUCCCUCAGGACUUGGAUAGAUAAUGCAUCUCAAAACUUAGAAAAUAUAUAAUUUAUCUGUGAUUUUCAAAAUCGCCCUUUUUGUUUUCAAAUUUAUCUCUGAAAAUAUCAUGUUCAUUCAAAUAUGCUUCUGCGCGCCCUUGAAAAAUUAUUGAGAAACUUUGAAUUUUUACAGAAUAUCGUCGUGACGAAUAUAGGAAUAAAUUUUAAAAAAUAUAGUGUGGCAUGCUCAGUAAUGAGAUCUCGAACCAAAUUAUAUAUACAACUCACAUGCCGUAAGAGAAGCAAAAUGGGGACAACUCACUUUCUGCUUAUUUGCACUAAUAAUGCACUCAUUUGUUGUUUCUUGUACGCAAUUACUAGACAUAUAUUGACUCUAACUGUAUUGCUGUAUCAGCAUCUAAAUAUUGUAACUAAAAGAGCAAAAAGAGGUUAUGUUGAUAUAUUUAUAGAGAGAGAGUUCGUACUUUUAUCAGUGUUUUUUUUGUACUCAUAAGUUUUCGGCCGUUAAAUUUAUUCGUUAGAUCAUACUAUUCAACCAACUACCCGUUCAAUCUUAGAAGGCUGGUAUCAUUCUAACAUGAAACAGCUAUUAUCCUAACCGCACAUCCCUUCCAUCCAACGACCGAAAUUUAUGAGUAUAAAGGGUUUUAUGCUCAUAAGAGUAUAGUAGACUUGGCAUAUAUAUAUAUAUAUAUAUAUAUAUAUAUAUAUAUAUAUAUUUUCGAGAGAUAGGUAGCAAACUACCUGUUUCGUUUUUUUCUAUUUAGAAAUAAACUUAGAUAGAAUUGUGAAUCAACUAAAAUUCGAACUUGGAUACUCGGGCAUAUUGGUGCUAUUACAUUUUCGGUUCUUGGAUGAAGAGAUGCGCGGUUAGGAUGGUUGUGGUCCUCUAAGAUUUGGUGGGUGGUUGGUGAAAUAAUAUGAUAUAAUGGGUGGAAAUGGUCUUAGGAUCUAAUGGUGGAAAACUUGGUAGCACCAAGUAUUUGGUGCUUUAUAGCAUCGUAGUCGAACUAUAUAUAUAUAUAGUAGAGCUACUAUGCUAUCGGAAGCAUAGAGGAUCUGGUGCUUCCGAUUUUUUGGUCCUUAGAUCAACCCCUUUAAUCAUUUCUAAUAUUUGGAUUAAUACUAUUAUCUUGUGGGGACUACUCAACCCUAGGGGUACUACUCAACCCUGGGGGACCGCAAUCAUCCCAACAGUAUAAUUUUUGAUCUAAUGGUCAAAAAGUUGGAAGCAUGAGAUUCUCUAUACUUCCGAUAGCAUAGUAGCUCUACACACACACACACACACACACUCACACAUCUAUAUAUAUAUAUAUAUAUAGAAUUGGGCUCAUAUGCUUUUAAAAGUACCAAGUUAUUGGUGCUUAUAGAUUUGUGGCCAUUGGAUUAAGGAAUGUGCGAUUAGGAUAAUGUGCCUCCUAGGGUUGAGUGGGUGGUUGGUUGAAUAAUAUAAUCUAACGGUUAAAAAUGAUCAAAGGAGUAGAUCUAACAGUACAAAAUUUACAAACACCAAGCUACCGUUUGGUUCGGGGUUAAGAAAAAACUAGUUAUUCCAGGGAUAUGGUUAAGUUCAGGAUUAAGGUGGGGUUAGAGUAUUUUUGUGUUUGGUUGGGGGUUGGAGUUAGUCGAGGAUAGUGAAAAAUAGUGUUUGGUUAGAAUAGGUGGGAUAAGAAAGAUAGUGGGUUAUUAUGAAUAGAAAAUAAUGUUUGGUUGAGGUUUGGUGGGGUUAAGUGGGGUUAGCUAACCCGGAAUAGCCUAUUUGAGGUGGGGUUAGCUAACCUCACCCAUUUUUAGAGUGUUUGGGGAUAAUAUGGGGGUUAAGGGGUUAUU